AACUAAGCAUAUCAAUAAGCGGAGGAAAAAGAAACCAACAGGGAUUGCCUCAGUAACUGCGAGUGAAGCGGCAAGAGCUCAAAUUUGAAAUCUGGCAGCAAUGUCCGAAUUGUAAUUUGUAGAAGCGUCUUUUGAUAGGUACCUGCAUAUGUUCCUUGGAACAGGACAUCAUAGAGGGUGAGAAUCCCGUUCAUGGUGGGCUACCGAUUCUUUGUAAAGUGCUUUCGACGAGUCGAGUUGUUUGGGAAUGCAGCUCUAAGUGGGUGGUAAAUUCCAUCUAAAGCUAAAUAUUGGCGAGAGACCGAUAGCGAACAAGUACAGUGAUGGAAAGAUGAAAAGUACUCCGAAAGGAGAGUGAAAUAGGACGUGAAAUUGUUAAAAGGGAAGUGCUUGAGAUCAGUCAUGAAAUUUGUAAUCAUCUGUCCUUUUGGGCAGUGCACUUGCUAUUUUCAGGCCAGCAUCAGUUUGGGUGGUAGGAUAAUGUCGCUUGAAUGUGGCUUCUUCGGGAGUGUUAUAGCCUGCGUCGAUACUACUUACCUAGACUGAGGACCGCGCGUUAGCUAGGAUGCUGGCAUAAUGAUCUUAAGCAGCCCGUCUUGAAACACGGACCAAGGAGUCUAACAACUAUGCGAGUGUUUGGGUGUUAAACCCGUACGCAUAAUGAAAGUGAACGUAGGUGGGAACUAGAAAUAGUGCACCAUCGACCGAUCCAGAUGUCUUCGGAUGGAUUUGAGUAAUAGCAUAGCUGUUGGGACCCGAAAGAUGGUGAACUAUGCCUGAAUAGGGUGAAGCCAGAGGAAACUCUGGUGGAAGCUCGUAGCGAUUCU
Molecule: ribosomal RNA, 827 nt
Filed under: Myxozyma monticola
Lineage: Eukaryota; Fungi; Ascomycota; Lipomycetes; Lipomycetales; Lipomycetaceae
Description: LSU rRNA
Rfam family: Eukaryotic large subunit ribosomal RNA
Source: RNAcentral